Long non-coding RNA from Eriocheir sinensis (Chinese mitten crab), 2593 nucleotides. RefSeq lists it as uncharacterized. NCBI's taxonomy places the organism in Eukaryota, Metazoa, Arthropoda, Malacostraca, Decapoda, Varunidae. The transcript has 3 exons. The record is from RefSeq and is a predicted model, not a curated record.
GAUGUCGGUUAGGAUUUCUUUUUUUUAUAUGUCCGUGUGUGUAACUGUUGCCUUUUAGCCUGUUGUGUUCCUGAGCAGCAAGAAGAGGCGGCUGUGGUGACCCGCCCGAUGCGGAAGGCUUCUGGGCCCUGUCGGCGGGGGCGCACCUCUCUGGCUGACUGGUUGACCAGGCUUUGACCAGGUGGCCAGGGAGGCGCAUCCUCGUUGGGCGGGGUCUGGGGGCCCUCCGUCUUGGGGAGGUCGCUGCAGCAGGAGGAGGUAACUACUGCUGGUUUUGUAAGGCAUUGUGGUUGAGAGCACCUUGCAGCUGUAACGCGAAUUUCGUUCCGUAAUAAACAAUGUACCGCCAUGCUGCCUGUCCUUCCUCCCUCCCAGCACUGUGUACGUCUGUGUGUGUGUGUUGCUUAAUUCUCCCUCACUGCACUGUGCGUACGUCUGUGUGUGUGUGUUGCUCUGUCUCUGUUUCUCUCUCUCUCUCUCUCUCUCAAUCCCUCUCUCUGUCUCUCUCUGUCUGUCUCUCUAUCUCUCAAUCUCUCUCUGUGUCUUUCUCUCUCUCUCUAGUUAGUAAAGAAAAGGUAACGUUUGCCAUGGAAGAGUCUACAGUGUACAUCCCAACCCUCUACGGCCGUUGCUGCUCCACCCGGGCAUUACCACAUCCACCCGGGUCUACAAGAAACCUCCACGGCCGAGCUUCAACCACAGAACACACCGCUACCGUUGAUGAGGUUCCACGCCCCGGACUACCGCCAUGUUAGCCUCGAUAAUAGUCCUCGGCGCACUUAUUCUGAGACGUCCUGACUGGAGAGCUACACAACACUGGUCAUCCGCUGAGUGGUUGAAUUCCUGGUCUACCGGCCCCUGGAGGAGUGGUCGAUUUCCUGGUCUACCGUGGAUAUGAGUGGUUGAUUGCCUGGUCUACCCCUGGAUGACGCAGCUGUUCCUAUGCAGGGGAGGACUCACACAAGCAAUAAGGUAAGGUUUUAAUGGCUGGGUUUACAAGAGGUUUUAAUUGCUGGGUUUACAAGAGGUUUUAAUGGCUGGGUUUACAAGAGGUUUUAAUGGCUGGGUUUACAAGAGGUUUUAAUGGCUGGGUUUACAAGAGGUUUUAAUAGCUGGGUUUACAAGAGGUUUUAAUGGCUGGGUUUACAAGAGGUUUUAAUGGCUGGGUUUACAAGAGGUUUUAAUAGCUGGGUUUACAAGAGGUUUUAAUAGCUGGGUUUACAAGAGGUUUUAAUAGCUGGGUUUACAAGAGGUUUUAAUAGCUGGGUUUACAAGAGGUUUUAAUAGCUGGGUUUACAAGAGGUUUUAAUAGCUGGGUUUACAAGAGGUUUUAAUAGCUGGGUUUACAAGAGGUUUUAAUAGCUGGGUUUACAAGAGGUUUUAAUAGCUGGGUUUACAAGAGGUUUUAAUAGCUGGGUUCAAGAGAGGUUUUAAUGGCUGGGUUUACAAGAGGUUUUAAUGGCUGGGUUUACAAGAGGUUUUAAUAGCUGGGUUUACAAGAGGUUUUAAUAGCUGGGUUUACAAGAGGUUUUAAUGGCUGGGUUUACAAGAGGUUUUAAUAGCUGGGUUUACAAGAGGUUUUAAUGGUACAUAUCUACUGAAUGUUGCUGUGUUAUGUAUCUUGACAUGCUCUCAGGGUAAGGAGUGUUCUGAUAUGGUGCCUUCCCCCCCUCCCCCAGCACCUGUCGGACCUGGAGACUCCCCCCUGAGCCUGACGGUGGAGCUGUGGGCCCUGCACCAGACCCCCACACCCCCCCACACCACCCACAGCAGGGGCAGGGUGUUGAGACUCCCCCCACAGGCUAAGACAGGGAGGGACUUGAAGAUCCGGGUUUUUGUCAUCUGCACAGGAAUUGACAUAUAGUAUUUGGGAGCAGCGAGUAGCGGGCUUUUUUAAUAGAGUUUCCUUUUUUGUGUGUGCCCUUGAGCUGUCUCCUUUGUUGUAGAAAAAAAAUACUUGACAAGGCUUUCAUAGGUGUUUGGGGCAUUUCCAUGGGUAGUUUAAUGACCCUGGUGGUAGUCUGACCCUUCCUCUGUGCAAUGAACUUGAAAAAAACGCUCAUAAAAAUGCAGAUAUUAACCCAGUAGCAGCGGGGAUCAUGUUUCUUAAUGGUCCCUCCAAGCCAGAAAAAUGAGAAAAAUUCACCCAUCACACAAACCAUUUCAUAUAUAUCAAAGCAUUUGCGAUCAGAUUAUGUAUCUUCUAUUUUUGGGGUUUAUAUCAUGGCUCACAACCAAGAGAGCCCGGGCAAAGUGGAAAAAUUUGGGUAGCUUUUCCGAUACCCUACGCCCCUGUCCACCCAGCAGUGAUUGGGUACCAGGUAUUAAUCGGGGGUUGUGUCCCGUCUCCUGGGGUCUGUUCCCUUCUCCUAUAAUUCCUUCCCCUUCUGUCUCUCUCUGGCAUAUGAUCACCGAUGUUGCGCUGCCCACUAAACAAAACUUUCCAACUUUCCAACAGUUGAAUUACAGUUUGAUCCAAGUGUUGUCCCUGUGGCUCACCCUCCUAGAGAAAUACCUGUUGCUCUGAGAGGUAAACUUAAGAAGGAAUAGACCAUAUGGAAAGAUUAGGUAUCAUUAUUGAAGAAAAUACACC